GGUUGGAGAGAUGGCUCAGUGGGUAAGAGCGCUGACUGCUCUUCCAGAGGUCCUGAGUUCAAUUCCCAGCAACCA
Molecule: transfer RNA, 75 nt
Filed under: Mus musculus (house mouse)
Lineage: Eukaryota; Metazoa; Chordata; Mammalia; Rodentia; Muridae
Description: tRNA-Ser
Source: RNAcentral